GCAGGGACAACAAAGGGAUGC
This 21-nucleotide microRNA is filed under the name Alligator mississippiensis (American alligator). Its description in RNAcentral is "ami-miR-204-2-3p". Its record names the gene ami-miR-204-2-3p. The record is from miRBase by way of RNAcentral. Lineage: Eukaryota; Metazoa; Chordata; Crocodylia; Alligatoridae.